RNAcentral lists this ribosomal RNA (207 nucleotides) under uncultured fungus. RNAcentral describes it as "partial 28S ribosomal RNA". It matches the Rfam family "Eukaryotic large subunit ribosomal RNA", at positions 75 to 276 of the family's 3401-position model. Lineage: Eukaryota; Fungi. The record is from RNAcentral.
UUGCCCCAGUAACGGCGAGUGAAGCGGCAACAGCCCAGAUUUGAAAUCUGGCCCUUGCUCGAGGGUCCGAGUUGUCAUCUGCAGAGGAUGCUUCGGGCAACGCCGCGCUCCAACCCGCUUGGGACAGCGGGCCGCAGAGGGUGAGAGCCCCGUCCAGGAUCGCGUGCCGCCCCCGUGUGAAGCUCCUUCGACGAGUCGAGUUGUUUG